AGUGCUAAGUGUUGGAGGGUUUCCGCCCUUCAGUGCUGCAGCAAACGCAUUAAGCACUCCGCCUGGGGAGUACGACCGCAAGGUUGAAACUCAAAGGAAUUGACGGGGGCCCGCACAAGCGGUGGAGCAUGUGGUUUAAUUCGAAGCAACGCGAAGAACCUUACCAGGUCUUGACAUCCUUUGACCACUCUAGAGAUAGAGCUUUCCCUUCGGGGACAAAGUGACAGGUGGUGCAUGGUUGUCGUCAGCUCGUGUCGUGAGAUGUUGGGUUAAGUCCCGCAACGAGCGCAACCCUUAUUGUUAGUUGCCAUCAUUUAGUUGGGCACUCUAGCGAGACUGCCGGUGACAAACCGGAGGAAGGUGGGGAUGACGUCAAAUCAUCAUGCCCCUUAUGACCUGGGCUACACACGUGCUACAAUGGGAAGUACAACGAGUCGCUAGACCGCGAGGUCAUGCAAAUCUCUUAAAGCUUCUCUCAGUUCGGAUUGCAGGCUGCAACUCGCCUGCAUGA
This 511-nucleotide ribosomal RNA is filed under the name Enterococcus faecalis. RNAcentral describes it as "bacterial SSU rRNA". It matches the Rfam family "Bacterial small subunit ribosomal RNA", at positions 812 to 1323 of the family's 1533-position model. The record is from RNAcentral. Lineage: Bacteria; Bacillati; Bacillota; Bacilli; Lactobacillales; Enterococcaceae.